AUUAUACGAAUAUUUACUACUCGUAUAUGCCCAAUAAUACGGUUUGGGCGUUUCUACCAGGAUGCCGUAAACAACCUGACUACGAGUAUGUAGUUCGAUAUU
RNAcentral lists this non-coding RNA (102 nucleotides) under Caloramator quimbayensis. Its description in RNAcentral is "Guanine sequence". It matches the Rfam family "Purine riboswitch aptamer". From Rfam's summary of the family: Riboswitches are metabolite binding domains within certain messenger RNAs that serve as precision sensors for their corresponding targets. Allosteric rearrangement of mRNA structure is mediated by ligand binding, and this results in modulation of gene expression. A class of riboswitches that selectively recognises guanine and becomes saturated at concentrations as low as 5 nM. Lineage: Bacteria; Bacillati; Bacillota; Clostridia; Eubacteriales; Clostridiaceae. The record is from RNAcentral.